Taeniopygia guttata (zebra finch) is the source of this 7897-nucleotide non-coding RNA. The record is from RefSeq and is a predicted model, not a curated record. Lineage: Eukaryota; Metazoa; Chordata; Aves; Passeriformes; Estrildidae.
UUUAAUUGCUUCCUCACCUGCAGUUCAGGGUCCUGAAGCACAAGAUAUAAAGUAAGAUUUCACAGGGUUUCCUAGCAGGCAGAAUUCGCUCUGCUGGUUAGGUUUCUCUACAGGACAUCACAGUUAUUUUGAACUGGUUUGUGUUGGUUUGAGCUCUUCUGCAAAACUUCAAGAUUCUUCAAGACUCAGGUUUCAGGUGGGCUUAGAUUAAUACAUUUUGCUCUCUCACAGGUGUAUAUAGCUGCUUAUGCUAGAGGCAAGAGUAGGACAAAGGUGGCUGAAGAUGUGAAAUAUAGCGGGCAAUGACUGCAUCUGGUGGAGAUUAGAGCCUAUUUGUGCAGAAACACUAUCUGAACACUAUCCCAGCAUUUAUUUGUGCACUGUGAGUGUUAAUACAACUCAGAGCCAUCUUCACAAGCUGCAUGAAAGUCUUUGUAGAAACUCUCAGGAAGCUUCUUAUUCUCUCAAAGCAAUUCCCAUUGGUUUCUAUAGAAGAUCCAAAGUGAUAUCAUGGGAGGUCAUAGGCCCAUUAAAAUUUACAAAUGAUAACUGUAGCUUCCCAAUAGUGAAACACUUUUACAGAGAUGCCCAGUAGAUUUAGACAAAAUUCAGUGUAUUCAAGCCUAAUCAGAAAUCACAGUGAGUGAGAAUAGUCACCAUUUUAAAAACAAUUGCAGCUUUCAUGAGUUAGGUGCAAUUUCAGGGCAAUCAUGUCAAUUCUGCAGAUAAUCAUUCUGCAAGAUUUGAAUAUAAAUUGUAUGAUAACAGAGAGAAAAAGCAAUUCUUUUUGAGUUCACAUGGUCGCAAGUGAAAGACAGAAGAAACAUUAGGGAGUCACUUUUAACAGAAGUACAGAUAGCAGAUGUUUAAUUAGCCUCAGACCAUACAUAUCUGACUGAAAAUGUGUCAAACAUAGGUAACACUUCCACAAGAGACUAGGCUGAUAAUCUGUACUUUCAGAAAAUAUGUAGAUAAAUCAUCCUGGCCACAAAUAAUCACAAACUGACUGCUGCAGGCCUACAUAGAGGAUAACUUUGGGCAUGAAAUAAAUUAUACAUUCAGUAAGGCUGUAGUUUGUGUAUGAUAGACUUUGCCCAUCAGAGUUGUGCAAUUUACAUUUAAUGAAAACAACCUACAGUAAGUUUCUGGGUUGCUUGGAUUUAUUUCCCAUCCAUCUGACUAAGAUGAAGACAUGUCAUUUUUAGGAUCUCUACUAGUAUAUUUGGGGAGCAAUUUUGUAGAGCUAUAUUAACAGGUAUAGGUUUUAAAGUUGCUUGACUUCUUGUGCCAAGAAGAGAGAAAAGACAGUGAUGGGUUGAUCAUUGGAAAGAUGGUGGGGCCAGGGAGAGUUAAAUGUAUAUAAGCAAUCCCAUUUCCAUACAAAUGAGACACCAGUUAGGGAACACACUUGCAUUUCUUCUUUAUCCAGUUGUUACAGACUCUACCAGCAUGUCUCUGGAGAUUUCUCCUCAGCUAUCAGCCUGCAGGAGAAUAAACAAACCCAGAUUUUUGACUGUAUGUCAUUUGUUUGAGUACACAGCUCCAAAAGAGACUGUCAACAAAUGCUCUUUAUGACUCAAACAGAUUUCUGAAAAGGCUACUUGAUGAAACUUACAAAUUUUCGUGUGCCUGGCCAUACUAAGGUUUCUCCUGGCCUCCAAUGCUUCUCAUGAAUCCCUGAAAUGCAGUUUUGAAGGUAUAGGGAAACACUUCAGCCAGAAGAAUGACAGCUUUGCUUAGUCCAGAAAUAAAUCUGAUUUAUGGUGGAACAAGACAAAGAAUUAAAGGACGGUCUUUGGAUACUCUGCUUUAAGGUGGAGACAAAUUAUUUUUAUACUUGGAUGCUCCUGUUUACAUUAUACCUGAUGUUAUUAGUUUAACAAGUUAAUAUUUAUUUGAACAAUCAUGAGAUAAGAAGAGAAUUUCAGAAUUGCUUCACAUCUAUAUUAGUAUAUUACAGGCUAAGUUGCAAAAGUUCUCUGACUUCCAGUUUGUCAGGAAAUAGAGAUGUGAUAGCUUAUCACACCACCAAAAAUUUCAUUUCAUUUUUUUUUCACUUUUCUCCCUAAGUAUUCAAAUCCUUUCUCAUUCACACACCUGUGAUCAAGUUACCGCUUAACUUUUAACUGCAAUAAGCAAAUAGAUUAAAUUUUGUAUCAUUUUCCUGCCGUUUAAUUUUUUUUCUUGAACUCUAGAGCAAAGCACAGUACAAAAGAGUAUUAGCCCUAGAGCAGGCUGUUUUAUUCCUGCAGUGGUGGUAUUGUUAACCUGUACAGAAAGAGUAUAUCCUUUCUGCUCAUGUGGUGUUUCUCUGCUUAUACAUCCUUUGGUUGAGAACCAGGUAGUUUCUUUACAGUCACAAACUGGUAUUUGAAGGGUGCUAUAAUGCACAUCAGAGCAGUGUACUGUGUGAUUCCACUUCCCUCAGGAGACAAAGUACAAAUUCAUUAAUUAUUCAAUCAGAUUUCAAUCCCUCUCUUUGUCUUUAUUAUAUAUUUAUCAUGGACUGUUGUUCUUGUUUUUAACAAUUAAAUAUUAUUUACAGUAUAUGAAACAGGUCCAUAACAGUACCAGUCAGUUUAAUAUCUUGAUUAAAUACUCUGUUCAUGCUUCUAUUAUGCAAAUGUCUUUAGAUUCUAAAUAAGUAAAAUAUAGUAAAAUUAGAAAGUAAAAAAUAAAAACAACAUAUAUAUUUAUAUAUAUAUGUAAUAUAUGUGUGUUAAUAGGUAUAUCAGUAAGUUAAAUAAGUACUUGUAGGUAUAACAAUUCUCAAACACUUUAACAUUUUAUAGUUUAUUUAAACACAAUAUUUAAAUAUCAAAAGAAUUAUUUUUUAAAUACUUAUUAAUACGGGGGGUUUUGUGACAUAAUCCUCCCUCACUCAGUUUCCUGUAACACAUUUGCCUUUUGAGUGUUGCCCCUCAGCUCUUCUUGUUUUUUUCCCAGAACCACAUUCUUCUUGUCCACGAAACUAUAGUGUGAUCAUACUUUGCUCAUAGGCACCUGUAGAAAUUAAUUUUUAAAGUAGAAAUGUGUUUUAGUGAUAAUUCUGUCUAGCAGACACAGAAUAAUCCUGAGCCAGUGGCAACACCUUGUUCGGAAAAGUAAUAUUUAGAGAUUUGACAGGUGUUUUGCCAUAAGCAGGGACAGCCCUAUGGUAUGUGACCUGAAAUUCCCUGUGAGAAUGCAGAUCCUUUCUGCACAUAAAGGAACUGCUUGUCUCUGUCCUUCCCGUGAUUUGGGCACAGCCACCCUGCAGGAAGUCCCAUCACUGAACCAGGGGCACUCCAUCCCUCCCCCUUCUGUUUGUCAGUAAUUACAGCAGAUAACAUCACACCUGUGCAAAGUGCUGAUCUCUUCUGCCAUUCACCAGCUGGUGGUUCAGUCAAGGCCCCCCUUUUUCCUUUUAAUUUUGAGAGUGUCAAUUAAAGAGAGAAAAAAAAAAAAGAAAUCCCAACACAUGAAUAGAUCCCGAUUUACGGCAAACUGAAAAUGAUACCCCAGUGUGUUAUGACUUUUUUUUUUUUUUUGUAUCAGUGGAAAAGGGGUUUAUGAAAGAGUUUCCCCAUAUUACACAGAUCAAAUUUUUUGUUGGAGUUUGUUAUUCCAAAUCUUCAUUAGACACUCAAUAGAUAAUUUAGACUUCUGAAAGACCACAAGUGGUCUGCAGCUUCUGAACCCAAGGCUGCUCUCUCACUUCAAGCACUUGAAAAUAUAUUUUUGUGAUAUGUAUACAUAAAAAAUGAAAUUUGCAAUGGAAAGUGAAAUCCCAGAAGGUCUACGUCUCAAGAGCUAAUGGGAUUUAUAAAUCCCAUUUUCACAUGCCACUUUUAUACACCAAAAACACAUGAACCCAUUUUCUGACUAUUUCCAGACUUUUACAUCAGCUGCAUGUUUUGAUCUCCUUUUUUUCCCCAGUAGAACUUCUUUAUGCUUAUUAGGUAGAUGCAAAUCAUCUAUGAAUAUUAAGUAACGCAGAAAUAUAGAGAUAAUACAUGACUUCCACUGAUCUCCAAGUUACUACCAUAUCCCAUAGACUUCGAGCCAUGCUCUUGUAGGAAAAGAAAAUUAAGGUGGCUGCUCAGUCUGCCUAUGAGAAACAGGUGUGGGAACUGGGGCUUGUGUGUGAGCCUGAGAAGAAGAGUGUCUUAGCUGCUACUAAAGGAUGGAAAUACCUGCUGGCAGGUCAAACAGAAUGCAAAAUCCGUGCUAAAAUUGAAAAAGAGCAUUGAGGUACAUGACCCAAGCAUGGGAAGAACAGAGUGCUUCUGAAAGUAAAACCAGGACAGUACUGGCCUGGGCAGUCAGUGAGCAGUCCAGCAAUAUUUUGACAGGAAUCAUCCUUCUAAUAUUCAAACUGAAAAGUAACUUAUGUGUCCGGUAAAGAUCAAUAAGAUAAGAGUAUCUGAAAACUUCAGCCUAUCAAUUACUUGAAGAUAAAAACCCAUUUAUAUAAGAAAAUGUGUACAACACUUGGGCUAAGUGAAGGUGAUACAUACCUUCCCUCCAAAGUGAUGAGGCUAGCAUAACUAUUUUUUUCAUAAGCAAGUAAAACCAUCUACCUGGAAAGCAAGUAAAACCAUCUACCUGGAAAGCAAGUUUGGGCAUCAUGUAUGCUCAACUAAUUGAGAGAAGUCAAGAUGUGAAGGCCCUGGUCCCAGACUGGUACUGAGGACCUGCUGGAGGAUGAAAGCACUUGGGUAAGAUGCAGAACCAAACCUCUACCCUCUGCAAGUGUCACCUCUUGAGGACAAGGGCAGGGAACAGCAAAGUGUUCAAAGAGAUCAGGUAAGACUUGGCUGGUACCUGCUAACACUGGUGCAAUGGAAAGCUGGAAGAAGACAUGAGACUGGUGACAGCACCCUCCCUCAAGAGUGUGCCCAUGCUCAGUUAAUGUGCUUCCUUGAUCUUUCUGCAAAGGAGGAAAAAGAAGUAUUUGUAUCCAGAGAAGAGGCACCCAUUUUUUUUAGUCAGGCAGGCCAAUACAAUAAGAAUGAAGCUGGCCACUGCUAUGUGAUAUCUCACAUAGCCCUUCUAGUGUUCAAAAAUGCCUCAGGAGAGCUUCAUCAAUGAUUUUUGGUCCAAUUAAGUCACUUGAAUGCACUGAAAAAAAUGGGAUUAAGAACAUUUUUUAAAUCAGAAAUGGUUUCUUUGAAUUGUAUAUAUUUUCUAAUUCCCUUGAUUAAUUUUAAAAGAUCAAAUUUAUAAUUGUACUAAUCUGUUGUUAAUAUUUAAUAAAGAAAGGGGUGAUUAAAAGUUUUCCCUCUCAACAGAAUUAUUUUCAUACCAAACUGUCUUGUCAAGAACCCACAAAGCUGAACUUUUCCUUUCAGAUUAAAGUACUUCAAAGUACUUCUUUCUUUUCCUUUUCUGCUCAGUCACCAAACCAGGAGGAAGAACCCCAUUCCAUUAGCAAUCCCACCUAGAGGGUAGGCAGCAGAGAAUAAUCUGUUGUAUGAAAGACUGCCUUGUGUGAUGCUGACUGUACAGAGGAGACAAGGGAUGAACAAACCAGACCCACAUGGAACUUCUCCAUGCCUCUUCCCCCAGCCCUUCUGCUGACUCAGUCCUGUCACUCAAAUCAUAUAAUUUCCCACACUGAAAGCAGUUUCCAGAAUGCUGUUUAGCUGUUGCUUCAGCUGUAUCACUUUUACAUACAAACUUUCUUCUACUUGCCGUCUCAAAUGUGCUACAUACUGCAGGGCAUUGGCAGUGCAGGCAUUAUCCAGUUCUAGGGGGAGUGCUAUAAAUUUAAGUCUGACUAUCUCCAUCAGCCGUUUACCUUGGUAGAGAAUUUCCACUGAACACACCUGCGACAAAUCUCUUUUCUCCUUCCCUUUUCUUGGAUUAUGAGUCAAAUAAAACACAGCCUAUGACAUUAAUGGUCUUGUAAUAUUGGUUGAACUACCUGGAUGCUAGGAAACAUUACAGCUGAGGUCAUUUUUCCAAACAGUGUAUUGAAUUACGGGUUUCCAUUUGCUUUUUGUUUUGCUUUUUCCUGUGGGACCCAUUUGUACACUGAACAAAGUAGGAGCUUGCUUGGUACAGUGUUUUAUCUCACCUUCAUUGUCUUGUCUGACCACACCAUUUCUGUUCUGUUUUUUUUUUCUUUUUAUGAAAAGAAAACUGUUGCUUCUUUUGUGUUUUUCUGCACACACUAAUGUCUGAGUACAUAAAAAUAGGUGUACAUUUACUGCCACAGAAAUCUGGUGUUGAGGGACUUUUGCUUUCUCUUCCAUUCUAGGUGGAGGAUAAAGAGAAACUGAAAUGUGAGAGCAUCCAUUCAUGGCAUGGUCAGCAUCAGACAGCACUAUUGCUUUACGAGCCAAGCUCUUCAUCUGGGUUUACCUGCUUCACAGUUUGCCUCUAGGUAAGGGAUGCGCUAUCCUGAGGUUCUUGCAUGAUAAUUUUUCUUCUUCUUAUCUGGAUUCCAGUUUCAAUUCAUCUUAUAUGCUGGCUUCAUGUGAAGAUGUAAAAGCUAUAUGAAGUGAGGGCCAUUAUUUUCAUCCGUUUUUCAGAUUUCUCAAAUACUGGAGUAGUUGGUUCAUAAGGACAGGAUAAAUGCUAUGUCACUGUUUUUUAUUUGCUAUAAUCAGUCAGCAUCUGAAACAAAACCAAACAUACUUUGGAUUGUUCUUUUUUUUUAAGAAAUAACCAGGAAUAAAGGAAUAACUAAGCUACAAAAAUAUUAAGGUUAGGUACAACACUAGCAUUAAUAGAGCCUCCUUAGGCUGAGGAAGGCUAACUGAAGGAUGCACAAACAUAGACAGGAUUUCUUCAAGGCACACAUGCCACUAAAGAAAAUACUCCCACUUCAUAGUGCAGACAGGCAAAAGCCAGACGUUUUAUUUAAGUUUAAAAUAACAAAUAUUCACCUACAAUCACAGUAUACUGCUUAGUUUAUCGCUUCUGCUUUGAAUUCUGUGCUUUCAUUUCACGUGUCUACAUUUUGCAUUUCUGUACACGCUGCAAAAGUAACUUUGUAUAUCAUUUAACAUCUGUGCAUAUCCUUUAGAGCUUAACAUGACACAGAAAUUAAAAUACAUUUUGAAUUUUAAGGUACUGAAAACAAUCAAUAAAGUUCCACAGAAAAAAAUAGUAUAAAUGUUUCUUAUAGUACAGUACUCUUAAUUUUAUGUCAGUGUCAUUUUAAUGCCAUAGUUUUCAAAUAUUGACUGUAUAAAGAGAAGACUAGGGCAAAAAUUAUCUAAAAUGCCUUUCCUAAGUCUGUUAGACUCUGUUGAUUUAUGAUAUAUGUACAGUAUAUAAAUAUAUUUAUGUAUAUAUGUACAUAUAUAUUGGUUAACAUUCAUUAUAAAUAGAACUGUGUUAACCUAAGCAGUAUAAAAAUAGCCACUUUCCUGGGAACAUGCAAACAUAAUAUGCUCUCACCUAAUCAAUAAAACUCAAAACAACCAAAACCUUUAGCUCUGAUUUUCUACAAAUAUAAAUUUCAAUUGAAGACUUUCAACUGAUUUAACCAUAAAGUAAGUUUUUCCAGUAAAGAUAUAAAAAAUUGUUUGAUGCUAGCUAUAAUUAAGCUCAAACACAGUAUAUUUUGGGUUAUUUACUUUCAAGUAUUUUUCCCACGUGCGCUAAAUCUAGACACACUGCAUUUGUUUUCUUUACAAUGAAUUAUUAUUUAGCUCUAAACACUAAAAGCCAAAUUACAGGCAAUCUGGCAUGCUUGCACUGCAGGUAAAAGGCUCUCCUCUACAUUGUUCCUGUGUGGGAGGCUGUCUAUUAUGGCUAUUUGUGCUCCAGAUCUUGUGUUCAUUGCAAAGCGUAACCAAGAUUCUCCUACUGUAAGAUUCUUAAGGCCAGAAGAGAAAGUACUACAACCACUUAAAUCUCAUCUCAUGCUCACUGAAAUUCACUCUGAGGUCCCUGCAUUCAG